This 65-nucleotide transfer RNA is filed under the name Indochinamon bhumibol. Its description in RNAcentral is "tRNA-Ala". The record is from RNAcentral. Lineage: Eukaryota; Metazoa; Arthropoda; Malacostraca; Decapoda; Potamidae.
GAAACUAUAGUCAAUACAAUAAUGACAUAUAAUUUGCACUUAUAAGGAGUUUUAUACUAGUUUCG